RNAcentral lists this transfer RNA (73 nucleotides) under Jeotgalicoccus saudimassiliensis. It matches the Rfam family "tRNA". From Rfam's summary of the family: Transfer RNA (tRNA) molecules are approximately 80 nucleotides in length. The record is from Rfam by way of RNAcentral. Lineage: Bacteria; Bacillati; Bacillota; Bacilli; Caryophanales; Staphylococcaceae.
GGUCCCGUGGUGUAGCGGUUAACAUGCCUGCCUGUCACGCAGGAGAUCGCGGGUUCGAGUCCCGUCGGGACCG